AAAACACUGGUUCUCAUUUGAUCACCAAAGUUAAGCAGUGUUGAGCAUGGUCAGUACUUAGAUGGGAGACCACUUGGGAAUACCAGGUACUGA
Acanthosepion pharaonis is the source of this 93-nucleotide non-coding RNA. Lineage: Eukaryota; Metazoa; Mollusca; Cephalopoda; Sepiida; Sepiidae. The record is from the annotation of a GenBank genome assembly.